AGAGUUUGAUCAUGGCUCAGAACGAACGCUGGCGGCAGGCCUAACACAUGCAAGUCGAGCGCCCGCAAGGGAGCGGCAGACGGGUGAGUAACGCGUGGGAACGUGCCCUUUGGUUCGGAAUAUUCCCGGGAAACUGGGAGCAAAACCGGAUAAGCCCUUCGGGGGAAAGUUUACGCCAAAGGAUCGGCCCGCGUUAGAUUAGGUAGUUGGUGGGGUAACGGCCUACCAAGCCUACGAUCUAUAGCUGAUCUGAGAGGAUGAUCAGCCACACUGGGACUGAGACACGGCCCAGACUCCUACGGGAGGCAGCAGUGGGGAAUCUUGGACAAUGGGCGCAAGCCCGAUCCAGCCAUGCCGCGUGGAUGACUGAAGGCCCUAGGGUUGUAAAGUCCUUUCGACGGGGACGAUAAUGACGGUACCCGUAGAAGAAGCCCCGGCUAACUUCGUGCCAGCAGCCGCGGUAAUACGAAGGGGGCUAGCGUUGUUCGGAUUUACUGGGCGUAAAGGGCGCGUAGGCGGAUUUUUAAGUCGGGGGUGGAAUCCCGGAGCUCAACUCCGGAACUGCCUUCGAUACUGAAAGUCUGGAGCACGGUAGAGGUGAGUGGAAUUCCGAGUGUAGAGGUGAAAUUCGUAGAUAUUCGGAGGAACACCAGUGGCGAAGGCGGCUCACUGGACCGUUGCUGACGCUGAGGCGCGAAAGCGUGGGGAGCAAACAGGAUUAGAUACCCCGGUAGUCC
This 737-nucleotide ribosomal RNA is filed under the name uncultured bacterium. Its description in RNAcentral is "bacterial SSU rRNA". It matches the Rfam family "Bacterial small subunit ribosomal RNA", at positions 8 to 796 of the family's 1533-position model. The record is from RNAcentral.